This 159-nucleotide non-coding RNA is filed under the name Streptomyces roseus. RNAcentral's name for it is "Streptomyces sRNA scr5239". It matches the Rfam family "Streptomyces sRNA scr5239". From Rfam's summary of the family: It inhibits agarase DagA expression by direct base pairing to the dagA coding region, and it represses translation of methionine synthase metE (SCO0985) at the 5' end of its open reading frame. Lineage: Bacteria; Bacillati; Actinomycetota; Actinomycetes; Kitasatosporales; Streptomycetaceae. The record is from Rfam by way of RNAcentral.
CUUCCGCCCUCCCCGCACAGGAGGACGGAUCGAGGUAAGCCGCGCGCUCUGCCCUGACCGCGCAGGCACCUCCCACCGGCCGCCGGGAACCGCACACCCGGCCGGCCGUAAGUACUCCGGGCUACGGUGCCGGACGGGUUGAGGGUCCCGACCCGGCAC